Non-coding RNA from Salmo salar (Atlantic salmon), 286 nucleotides. Lineage: Eukaryota; Metazoa; Chordata; Actinopteri; Salmoniformes; Salmonidae. The record is from RefSeq and is a predicted model, not a curated record.
AAGCAAACCAAAUACAUUUGUAAGGCUUCAUUUCAGCUGUGGGUUGGUUGCUGGCAUGGUUGAGGGUCGGUCGAGAGAUUUCUAACCUGUGUGAAGAUGAGUGUCUCAGAGCUGCGGCUGUCCAGACUGAGGACAAAGCGGAUGGACUGGAAGAGCUCUUGGAUGCUGGCUCUGAACUGUUCUUCCUCCAUACCACAGGUAGCACGGGAGUACAGGAUCCGAGAUUGGAUAAUGAAUUUCAACAGGACCUGAGCCCUAGGACCAUGCCUCAGGACUACCUGGUAUG